RNAcentral lists this ribosomal RNA (417 nucleotides) under Paracidovorax valerianellae. RNAcentral describes it as "bacterial SSU rRNA". It matches the Rfam family "Bacterial small subunit ribosomal RNA", at positions 30 to 449 of the family's 1533-position model. The record is from RNAcentral. Lineage: Bacteria; Pseudomonadati; Pseudomonadota; Betaproteobacteria; Burkholderiales; Comamonadaceae.
AUUGAACGCUGGCGGCAUGCCUUACACAUGCAAGUCGAACGGUAACAGGUCUUCGGAUGCUGACGAGUGGCGAACGGGUGAGUAAUACAUCGGAACGUGCCCGAUCGUGGGGGAUAACGGAGCGAAAGCUUUGCUAAUACCGCAUACGAUCUACGGAUGAAAGCAGGGGACCGCAAGGCCUUGCGCGGACGGAGCGGCCGAUGGCAGAUUAGGUAGUUGGUGGGAUAAAAGCUUACCAAGCCGACGAUCUGUAGCUGGUCUGAGAGGACGACCAGCCACACUGGGACUGAGACACGGCCCAGACUCCUACGGGAGGCAGCAGUGGGGAAUUUUGGACAAUGGGCGAAAGCCUGAUCCAGCCAUGCCGCGUGCAGGAUGAAGGCCUUCGGGUUGUAAACUGCUUUUGUACGGAACGAA